CCUACGGGUGACAGCAGUGGGGAAUAUUGCUCAAUGGGGGAAACCCUGAAGCAGCGACGCCGCGUGAGGGAAGAAGUAUUUCGGUAUGUAAAGCCCUUUUAGCAGGGAAGCAAAUGACGGUACCUGACCAAGAAGCCCCGGCUAACUCCGUGCCAGCAGCCGCGGUCAUCCGGAGGGGAGAAGCGUUAUCCGGCAUUACUGGGUGUAAAGGGAGCGUAGGCGGGUGGGCAAGUCUGGAGUGAAAUGCGGGGGCUUAAACCCCGGACUGCUCUUGAAACUGGCAGGCUUGAGUGCGGGAGAGGUAAGUGGAAUGCGUGGUGUAGCGGUGAAAUGCGUAGAUAUUAAGAAGAACGCCAGUUGCGAAGGCGGCAUACUGGAGCGUGACUGACGCUGAGGCACGAAAGCGUGGGGAGCAAACAGGAUUAGAUACCCGUGUAGUC
Molecule: ribosomal RNA, 440 nt
Filed under: uncultured bacterium
Lineage: Bacteria
Description: partial 16S ribosomal RNA
Rfam family: Bacterial small subunit ribosomal RNA
Source: RNAcentral